RNAcentral lists this ribosomal RNA (434 nucleotides) under uncultured bacterium. RNAcentral's name for it is "partial 16S ribosomal RNA". It matches the Rfam family "Bacterial small subunit ribosomal RNA", at positions 29 to 507 of the family's 1533-position model. The record is from RNAcentral.
AGCGAACGCUGGCGGCAGGCCUAACACAUGCAAGUCGAACGAACCUUUUGGGGUUAGUGGCGGACGGGUGAGUAACACGUGGGAACGUGCCUUUAGGUUCGGAAUAACUCAGGGAAACUUGUGCUAAUACCGAAUGUGCCCUUCGGGGGAAAGAUUUAUCGCCUUUAGAGCGGCCCGCGUCUGAUUAGCUAGUUGGUUGAGGUAAUGGCUCACCAAGGCGACGAUCAGUAGCUGGUCUGAGAGGAUGAUCAGCCACAUUGGGACUGAGACACGGCCCAAACUCCUACGGGAGGCAGCAGUGGGGAAUCUUGCGCAAUGGGCGAAAGCCUGACGCAGCCAUGCCGCGUGAAUGAUGAAGGUCUUAGGAUUGUAAAAUUCUUUCACCGGGGACGAUAAUGACGGUACCCGGAGAAGAAGCCCCGGCUAACUUCGUG